GUGAAUUAUAGGGCGUCUACUUCGGUAGGGCCUGACCUCCACUUUCUAACUCUGUGCACUCAUUUGGCGGAAAAGGGAAUUAGUAACUUGUCUAAUGACGAUUACGACUUCUUACUUUCUGCGGCUUACUUUAAACACUAGUCAAAGUAUGUAACGAAAUAUCGAAACAAAUAA
This 174-nucleotide unclassified non-coding RNA is filed under the name uncultured Microbotryomycetes. RNAcentral's name for it is "sequence contains ITS1". Lineage: Eukaryota; Fungi; Basidiomycota; Microbotryomycetes. The record is from RNAcentral.